UAAUCGGUACGGGUUGUGGGAGCAAGAGCCCGGAGAUGGAUACUGAGACACGAAUCCAGCCCCUACGGGGCGCAGCAGGCGCGAAAACUUUACAAUGCGGGAAACCGUGAUAAGGGAACUCCGAGUGCCCGUAAAAUCGGGCUGUCCAUCUGUUUAAAUAACAGGUGAAGAAAGGGCCGGGCAAGACCGGUGCCAGCCGCCGCGGUAAUACCGGCGGCUCGAGUGGUGGCCACUAUUACUGGGCUUAAAGCGUUCGUAGCUGGACUGUUAAGUCUCUGAAGAAAUCUACCGGCUUAACCGGUAGGCGUUUCAGGGAUACUGGCAGACUA
This 329-nucleotide ribosomal RNA is filed under the name uncultured archaeon. Its description in RNAcentral is "bacterial SSU rRNA". It matches the Rfam family "Archaeal small subunit ribosomal RNA", at positions 261 to 594 of the family's 1478-position model. The record is from RNAcentral.